RNAcentral lists this ribosomal RNA (1642 nucleotides) under metagenome. RNAcentral describes it as "bacterial LSU rRNA". It matches the Rfam family "Bacterial large subunit ribosomal RNA", at positions 1301 to 2925 of the family's 2925-position model. The record is from RNAcentral.
GAUAAGUAACGAUAAAGCGGGUGAAAAGCCCGCUCGCCGGAAGACCAAGGGUUCCUGUCCAACGUUAAUCGGGGCAGGGUGAGUCGACCCCUAAGGCGAGGCCGAAAGGCGUAGUCGAUGGGAAACAGGUUAAUAUUCCUGUACUUGGUGUUACUGCGAAGGGGGGACGGAGAAGGCUAUGUUGGCCGGGCGACGGUUGUCCCGGUUUAAGCGUGUAGGCUGGUUUUCCAGGCAAAUCCGGAAAAUCAAGGCUGAGGCGUGAUGACGAGGCACUACGGUGCUGAAGCAACAAAUGCCCUGCUUCCAGGAAAAGCCUCUAAGCAUCAGGUAACAUCAAAUCGUACCCCAAACCGACACAGGUGGUCAGGUAGAGAAUACCAAGGCACUUGAGAGAACUCGGGUGAAGGAACUAGGCAAAAUGGUGCCGUAACUUCGGGAGAAGGCACGCUGAUAUGUAGGUGAGGUCCCUCGCGGAUGGAGCUGAAAUCAGUCGAAGAUACCAGCUGGCUGCAACUGUUUAUUAAAAACACAGCACUGUGCAAACACGAAAGUGGACGUAUACGGUGUGACGCCUGCCCGGUGCCGGAAGGUUAAUUGAUGGGGUUAGCGCAAGCGAAGCUCUUGAUCGAAGCCCCGGUAAACGGCGGCCGUAACAAUAACGGUCCUAAGGUAGCGAAAUUCCUUGUCGGGUAAGUUCCGACCUGCACGAAUGGCGUAAUGAUGGCCAGGCUGUCUCCACCCGAGACUCAGUGAAAUUGAACUCGCUGUGAAGAUGCAGUGUACCCGCGGCAAGACGGAAAGACCCCGUGAACCUUUACUAUAGCUUGACACUGAACAUUGAGCCUUGAUGUGUAGGAUAGGUGGGAGGCUUUGAAGCGUGGACGCCAGUCUGCAUGGAGCCGACCUUGAAAUACCACCCUUUAAUGUUUGAUGUUCUAACGUUGACCCGUAAUCCGGGUUGCGGACAGUGUCUGGUGGGUAGUUUGACUGGGGCGGUCUCCUCCUAAAGAGUAACGGAGGAGCACGAAGGUUGGCUAAUCCUGGUCGGACAUCAGGAGGUUAGUGCAAUGGCAUAAGCCAGCUUGACUGCGAGCGUGACGGCGCGAGCAGGUGCGAAAGCAGGUCAUAGUGAUCCGGUGGUUCUGAAUGGAAGGGCCAUCGCUCAACGGAUAAAAGGUACUCCGGGGAUAACAGGCUGAUACCGCCCAAGAGUUCAUAUCGACGGCGGUGUUUGGCACCUCGAUGUCGGCUCAUCACAUCCUGGGGCUGAAGUAGGUCCCAAGGGUAUGGCUGUUCGCCAUUUAAAGUGGUACGCGAGCUGGGUUUAGAACGUCGUGAGACAGUUCGGUCCCUAUCUGCCGUGGGCGCUGGAGAACUGAGGGGGGCUGCUCCUAGUACGAGAGGACCGGAGUGGACGCAUCACUGGUGUUCGGGUUGUCAUGCCAAUGGCACUGCCCGGUAGCUAAAUGCGGAAGAGAUAAGUGCUGAAAGCAUCUAAGCACGAAACUUGCCCCGAGAUGGGUUCUCCCUGACCCUUUAAGGGUCCUGAAGGAACGUUGAAGACGACGACGUUGAUAGGCCGGGUGUGUAAGCGCAGCGAUGCGUUGAGCUAACCGGUACUAAUGAACCGUGAGGCUUAACC